Molecule: ribosomal RNA, 447 nt
Filed under: uncultured bacterium
Lineage: Bacteria
Description: partial 16S ribosomal RNA
Rfam family: Bacterial small subunit ribosomal RNA
Source: RNAcentral
CCAGACUCCUACGGGAGGCAGCAGUGGGGAAUAUUGCACAAUGGGGGGAACCCUGAUGCAGCAAUGCCGCGUGAAGGAUGAAGGUUUUCGGAUUGUAAACUUCUUUUGUACGGGACGAAGAAAGUGACGGUACCGUAAGAAUAAGCCACGGCUAACUACGUGCCAGCAGCCGCGGUAAUACGUAGGUGGCAAGCGUUAUCCGGAUUUACUGGGUGUAAAGGGCGAGUAGGCGGGAUUGCAAGUCAGAGGUGAAAACUAGGGGCUCAACCGAUAGAGUGCAUUUGAAACUGCAGUUCUUGAGUGAUGGAGAGGCAGGCGGAAUUCCCGGUGUAGCGGUGGAAUGCGUAGAUAUCGCGCAGAACCCCGAUUGCGAAGGCAGCGUGCCGUGCCGCCACUGACGCUGAGGCACGAAAGCGCGGGGAUCGAACAGGAUUAGAUACCCUCGUA